GACCCGACUGCUAUUUGGGUGAGGAUAAGCCAUGCGAGUUGAAUGGGAUACCCAAAGUUCCCAUGGCAAACUGCUCAGUAACACAUGAUCAACUUACCCUAUGGAGGAAAAUAACCUCGGGAAACUGAGGAUAAUAUUCCAUAGUUGAAUCGGCUUGGAAAAGUUUUUCAAUAAAAGGGAUAAGGAAAAUGGUUCUUAUCUGCUAUAGGAUAGGAUCGUGUUCGAUUAUGGUUGUUGGUGAGGUAAAGGCUCACCAAGCCGAUAAUCGAUAGGGGCCGUGAGAGCGGGAGCCCCGAGAUGGGUACUGAGACAACGACCCAGGCCUUACGAGGCGCAGCAGGCGCGAAACCUCCGCAAUACACGAAAGUGUGACGGGGUUACCCAAAGUGUUCUAUUUAGAACUGUGGUAGGUGAGUAAUGUCCCCUACUAGAAAGGAGAGGGCAAGGCUGGUGCCAGCCGCCGCGGUAAAACCAGCUCUUCAAGUGGUCGGGAUAAUUAUUGGGCUUAAAGUGUCCGUAGCCGGUUUAGUAAGUUCCUGGUAAAAUCGGGUAGCUUAACUAUCUAUAUGCUAGGAAUACUACUAUACUAGAGGGCGGGAGAGGUCUGAGGUACUACAGGGGUAGGGGUGAAAUCUUAUAAUCCUUGUUGGACCACCAGUGGCGAANGCGUCAGACUGGAACGCGCCUGACGGUGAGGGACGAANGCCAGGGGAGCGAACCGGAUUAGAUACCCGGGUAGUCCUGGCCGUAAACGAUGCAUACUANGUGAUGGUACGGCCAUGAGCCGUGUCAGUGCCGUNNGGAAACCGUUAAGUGUGCCGCCUGGGAAGUA
Molecule: ribosomal RNA, 832 nt
Filed under: uncultured archaeon
Lineage: Archaea
Description: bacterial SSU rRNA
Rfam family: Archaeal small subunit ribosomal RNA
Source: RNAcentral